UGGAAGGUGGCUCAGUGGUAGAGUGCUUGCCUUGCAUGCAUGAGGGCUUGGGUUCAAUUUCUUACCACAUAA
This 72-nucleotide transfer RNA is filed under the name Dipodomys ordii (Ord's kangaroo rat). It matches the Rfam family "tRNA". Rfam says of the family: Transfer RNA (tRNA) molecules are approximately 80 nucleotides in length. Their secondary structure includes four short double-helical elements and three loops (D, anti-codon, and T loops). The record is from Rfam by way of RNAcentral. Lineage: Eukaryota; Metazoa; Chordata; Mammalia; Rodentia; Heteromyidae.